Long non-coding RNA from Mirounga angustirostris (Northern elephant seal), 396 nucleotides. RefSeq lists it as uncharacterized. The transcript has 3 exons. The record is from RefSeq and is a predicted model, not a curated record. NCBI's taxonomy places the organism in Eukaryota, Metazoa, Chordata, Mammalia, Carnivora, Phocidae.
GGUGGCUUUCUUGGGAUGCACGAGAAGUUUGUUGGAGAACCUGAUAGGACUGGGCAUAGUUCUGGAAGGCACUAUUAUUAACACCAUUUUAUGGGUGGGGAAAUGGAAACUCCAAGAAGAUAAAUGACCUGCCUGCGGUCAUCCAGCUCUAAGUGGCAGAGGCAGGACGCGAACCCAGGCAGAUUGGCCUCAGUGCCGGGGCUCGUAUAGAAAUCACAUCCCCGAAAUCAGCUGGCAGCUGCCACGGUCCUGUCGCCGAAGGAGAGUGUUUGCUGGCCUUCACAGAGAGGGCUCUUGUGGGCACCAGAUAAUUCCGAGAGCCAGAUGGCAAAUCUAGACCCUGGCCCACAUGGGAGGACGGAAGACUAUCUCAGAGGACUUAAGGCCGGCACAUAG